AUCGGGAAAGACCUCAUCGGAGGUGGUUUUUGCAUUUUUCCGUAGCGAUGCCACCAAACUUUGCCUACGAUUUUUGGCCAAUUCGCCAAUUCUUUUGCUCCGGUUUGUCAUGGGAGUGUCUAAAAUCGAAUUUCAAGCAAAGAAAUUUUUUUUACCUCUUUUGGUGGUCGAAAAUGGCUCCGGCGCAGCGGUGGCGAGGGUUGGCUUCCUUCCCAGCGACUAGGUGUUCUUCUCCUGCGGGGGGUCUGGCAGCUAGGGUUAGGGUUUGGUGUGAAAAUGGUUAUUUAUAUCCGUCCCCUUUUAAUUUGGACCAUCCAUCGCACUUGAUCUGAACCGUCCGAUCACGAUUAAAUAGGGAGUGAAUUUAAACCGCUCAUCGCGAUCUGAUCUAGACCGUCUAAUUACUUUUAAAUAGGAAGUGGAUCU
RNAcentral lists this long non-coding RNA (426 nucleotides) under Carica papaya (papaya). RNAcentral describes it as "long non-coding RNA (CPAP_LNC006438)". Lineage: Eukaryota; Viridiplantae; Streptophyta; Magnoliopsida; Brassicales; Caricaceae. The record is from RNAcentral.